UGGAGAGUUUGAUCCUGGCUCAGGACGAACGCUGGCGGCGUGCCUAAUACAUGAAGUCGAGCGGACAGAUGGGAGCUUGCUCCCUGAUGUUAGCGGCGGACGGGUGAUAACACGUGGGUAACCUGCCUGUAAGACUGGGAUAACUCCGGGAAACCGGGGCUUACCGGAUGCUUGAUUGAACCGCAUGGUUCAAUUAUAAAAGGUGGCUUUUAGCUCCUUACAGAUGGACCCGCGGCGCAUUAGCUAGUUGGUGAGGUAACGGCUCACAAGCACGAUGCGUAGCCGACCUGAGAGGGUGAUCGGCCACACUGGGACUGAGCACGCCAGACUCCUACGGGAGGCAGCAGUAGGGAAUCUUCCGCAAUGGACGAAGUCUGACGGAGCAACGCCGCGUGAGUGAUGAAGGUUUUCGGAUCGUAAAACUCGUUGUUAGGGAAGAACAAGUACCGUUCGAAUAGGGCGGUACCUUGACGGUACCUACCAGAAAGCCACGGCUAACUACGUGCCAGCAGCCGCGGUA
This 520-nucleotide ribosomal RNA is filed under the name Bacillus licheniformis. RNAcentral's name for it is "bacterial SSU rRNA". It matches the Rfam family "Bacterial small subunit ribosomal RNA", at positions 1 to 522 of the family's 1533-position model. The record is from RNAcentral. Lineage: Bacteria; Bacillati; Bacillota; Bacilli; Caryophanales; Bacillaceae.